AGUAUCUGUGGAUUAAAGGUGGCUUUUGGGCUGUCGCAGAUGGAUGAGCCUGCGUUGGAUUAGCUAGUUGGUGGAGUAAGGGCCUACCAAGGCUACGAUCCAUAGCUGAUUUGAGAGAAUGAUCAGCCACAUUGGGACUGAGACACGGCCCAAACUCCUACGGGAGGCAGCAGUGAGGAAUAUUGGACAAUGGGGGCAACCCUGAUCCAGCAAUGCCAUGUGUGUGAAGAAGGCCUUAGGGUUGUAAAGCACUUUAGUUGGGGAAGAAAGCUUUGAGGUUAAUAGCCUUGAGGAAGGACGUUACCCAAAGAAACCGGCUAACUCCGUGCCAGCAGCCGCGGUAAUACGGGGGGUGCAAGCGUUAAUCGGAAUUACUGGUAGGUGGUUUGUUAAGUCAGAUGUGAAAGCCCAAGGCUCAACCUUGGAACUGCAUUUGAUACUGGCAAACUAGAGUACGGUAGAGGAAUGGGGAAUUUCUGGUGUAGCGGUGAAAUGCGUAGAGAUCAGAAGGAACACCAAUGGCGAAGGCAACAUUUUGGACCGAUACUGACACUGAGGGACGAAAGCGUGGGGAUCAAACAGGAUUAGAUACCCUGGUAGUUCACGCUGUAAACGAUGAGUACUAGCUGUUGGAGUCGGUGUAAAGGCUCUAGUGGCGCAGCUAACGCGAUAAGUACUCCGCCUGGGGACUACGGCCGCAAGGCUAAAACUCAAAGGAAUUGACGGGGACCCGCACAAGCGGUGGAGCAUGUGGUUUAAUUCGAUGCAACGCGAAGAACCUUACCUGGUCUUGACAUCCUGCGAUCUUUCUAGAGAYAGAUUGGUGCCUUCGGGAACGCAGUGACAGGUGCUGCACGGCUGUCGUCAGCUCGUGUUGUGAAAUGUUGGGUUAAGUCCCGCAACGAGCGCAACCCCUAUUGAUAGUUACCAUCAAUAAGUUGGGUACUCUAUUGAGACUGCCGCUGACAAGGCGGAGGAAGGUGGGGACGACGUCAAGUCAUCAUGGCCCUUACGACCAGGGCUACACACGUGCUACAAUGGGUAUUACAGAGGGCUGCGAAGGAGCGAUCUGGAGCGAAACUCAAAAAGGUACUCUUAGUCCGGAUUGCAGUCUGSAACUCGACUGCAUGAAGUCGGAAUCGCUAGUAAUCGCAGGUCAGAAUACUGCGGUGAAUACGUUCCCGGGUCUUGUACACACCGCCCGUCACACCAUG
RNAcentral lists this ribosomal RNA (1214 nucleotides) under uncultured Francisella sp. Its description in RNAcentral is "bacterial SSU rRNA". It matches the Rfam family "Bacterial small subunit ribosomal RNA", at positions 189 to 1406 of the family's 1533-position model. Lineage: Bacteria; Pseudomonadati; Pseudomonadota; Gammaproteobacteria; Thiotrichales; Francisellaceae. The record is from RNAcentral.